Magnolia sinica is the source of this 80-nucleotide small nucleolar RNA. RefSeq annotates it as small nucleolar RNA Z105. The transcript has a single exon. Lineage: Eukaryota; Viridiplantae; Streptophyta; Magnoliopsida; Magnoliales; Magnoliaceae. The record is from RefSeq and is a predicted model, not a curated record.
GAAGCAUGAUGAUGAUGAUUACAUAUAAUACCGAUUCAUAAAUUUCAUGAUUGGAAUAAAUCACCUCCUACUCAUUCUGA